This 72-nucleotide transfer RNA is filed under the name Streptomyces hygroscopicus. RNAcentral's name for it is "tRNA-OTHER". The record is from RNAcentral. RNAcentral also lists the same sequence under 10 other names. Lineage: Bacteria; Bacillati; Actinomycetota; Actinomycetes; Kitasatosporales; Streptomycetaceae.
GCGUCGGUCGUCUAAGGAAAGAUACUCGUCUCCAAACGAGGGAUGUAGGUGCAAGGCCUGCUCGGCGCUCCA